Molecule: ribosomal RNA, 394 nt
Filed under: Pseudomonas entomophila
Lineage: Bacteria; Pseudomonadati; Pseudomonadota; Gammaproteobacteria; Pseudomonadales; Pseudomonadaceae
Description: bacterial SSU rRNA
Rfam family: Bacterial small subunit ribosomal RNA
Source: RNAcentral
CCAUGCCGCGUGUGUGAAGAAGGUCUUCGGAUUGUAAAGCACUUUAAGUUGGGAGGAAGGGCAGUAAGCUAAUACCUUGCUGUUUUGACGUUACCGACAGAAUAAGCACCGGCUAACUCUGUGCCAGCAGCCGCGGUAAUACAGAGGGUGCAAGCGUUAAUCGGAAUUACUGGGCGUAAAGCGCGCGUAGGUGGUUCGUUAAGUUGGAUGUGAAAGCCCCGGGCUCAACCUGGGAACUGCAUCCAAAACUGGCGAGCUAGAGUAUGGUAGAGGGUGGUGGAAUUUCCUGUGUAGCGGUGAAAUGCGUAGAUAUAGGAAGGAACACCAGUGGCGAAGGCGACCACCUGGACUGAUACUGACACUGAGGUGCGAAAGCGUGGGGAGCAAACAGGAU